AUUGAACGCUGGCGGCAUGCCUUACACAUGCAAGUCGAACGGCAGCAUGAUCUAGCUUGCUAGAUUGAUGGCGAGUGGCGAACGGGUGAGUAAUACAUCGGAACGUGCCCUGUAGUGGGGGAUAACUAGUCGAAAGAUUAGCUAAUACCGCAUACGACCUGAGGGUGAAAGUGGGGGACCGCAGGGCCUCAUGCUAUAGGAGCGGCCGAUGUCUGAUUAGCUAGUUGGUGGGGUAAAGGCCCACCAAGGCGACGAUCAGUAGCUGGUCUGAGAGGACGAUCAGCCACACUGGGACUGAGACACGGCCCAGACUCCUACGGGAGGCAGCAGUGGGGAAUUUUGGACAAUGGGCGAAAGCCUGAUCCAGCAAUGCCGCGUGUGUGAAGAAGGCCUUCGGGUUGUAAAGCACUUUUGUCCGGAAAGAAAUGGCUCUGGUUAAUACCUGGGGUCGAUGACGGUACCGGAAGAAUAAGGACCGGCUAACUACGUGCCAGCAGCCGCGGUAAUACGUAGGGUCCAAGCGUUAAUCGGAAUUACUGGGCGUAAAGCGUGCGCAGGCGGUUGUGCAAGACCGAUGUGAAAUCCCCGAGCUUAACUUGGGAAUUGCAUUGGUGACUGCACGGCUAGAGUGUGUCAGAGGGGGGUAGAAUUCCACGUGUAGCAGUGAAAUGCGUAGAGAUGUGGAGGAAUACCGAUGGCGAAGGCAGCCCCCUGGGAUAACACUGACGCUCAUGCACGAAAGCGUGGGGAGCAAACAGGAUUAGAUACCCUGGUAGUCCACGCCCUAAACGAUGUCAACUAGUUGUUGGGGAUUCAUUUCCUUAGUAACGUAGCUAACGCGUGAAGUUGACCGCCUGGGGAGUACGGUCGCAAGAUUAAAACUCAAAGGAAUUGACGGGGACCCGCACAAGCGGUGGAUGAUGUGGAUUAAUUCGAUGCAACGCGAAAAACCUUACCUACCCUUGACAUGCCACUAACGAAGCAGAGAUGCAUUAGGUGCUCGAAAGAGAAAGUGGACACAGGUGCUGCAUGGCUGUCGUCAGCUCGUGUCGUGAGAUGUUGGGUUAAGUCCCGCAACGAGCGCAACCCUUGUCUCUAGUUGCUACGAAAGGGCACUCUAGAGAGACUGCCGGUGACAAACCGGAGGAAGGUGGGGAUGACGUCAAGUCCUCAUGGCCCUUAUGGGUAGGGCUUCACACGUCAUACAAUGGUGCAUACAGAGGGUUGCCAAGCCGCGAGGUGGAGCUAAUCCCAGAAAAUGCAUCGUAGUCCGGAUCGUAGUCUGCAACUCGACUACGUGAAGCUGGGAUCGCUAGUAAUCGUAUAUCAGCAAUGAUGCGGUGAAUACGUUCCCGGAUCUUGUACACACCGCCCGUCAAGCCAUGGAAGCUGGGUGUACCUAAAGUCGAUAACCGCAA
Molecule: ribosomal RNA, 1418 nt
Filed under: uncultured Ralstonia sp.
Lineage: Bacteria; Pseudomonadati; Pseudomonadota; Betaproteobacteria; Burkholderiales; Burkholderiaceae
Description: 16S ribosomal RNA
Rfam family: Bacterial small subunit ribosomal RNA
Source: RNAcentral